UCUUUUUCCCUUACAAGGUUUUAUCCCACUGGGUUUUCCUUGCAAGGUUUUUAACGAGGCAACCAAUAGGCGCAUUUGUAAAUAUGUGUACUCUUUUCCCUUUUCUAGAAUUUUUUUCCCAUUGGGUUUUAUUUCAGCUAAGGUUUUAACGAGGCACAUUAUUUAUUGAGUAGACAUUCAAGGGGGAGUGUUAAGAAUAGA
This 201-nucleotide long non-coding RNA is filed under the name Nicotiana benthamiana. RNAcentral describes it as "long non-coding RNA (NBEN_LNC007555)". The record is from RNAcentral. Lineage: Eukaryota; Viridiplantae; Streptophyta; Magnoliopsida; Solanales; Solanaceae.